CGACUGAAAGAUUCCAAAAAGGGUGAGAAAGACAGACUGUGACUGAGAGAUUCGAUUUUAGGAGAUAUUUUGUGACUUGAAGAUUCCAAACGAAGGUGCGACGGUAAAGGCAGAAUGAAAAUUAGAGAUGGUGGGGAAGCUCCCAUAUACAGUAAGUAGCGUACUUUAGUUUCUUUGUUUGAUGCAAUUGUUUGGGUUUUACUGUCGGAUUUCAUUGCUGGACUUGAUGAAAAAUAAUAAAAGGAAGAAAGUGGUCCCUAUGGUUGUUGUUUGUUGACCGAGACUUAGGUUGGG
This 294-nucleotide long non-coding RNA is filed under the name Prunus persica (peach). RNAcentral's name for it is "long non-coding RNA (PPER_LNC007259)". Lineage: Eukaryota; Viridiplantae; Streptophyta; Magnoliopsida; Rosales; Rosaceae. The record is from RNAcentral.